AGCUCCAAGAUCACCACCCCAUUGGGAAGAAACUGAAUCAUGACCCCCAAAUGGUAGUCUUCCCCUGCAGAUACAGGGAUGUCACACACAUCCAAAUGGAAGGAAGGAGCAUAUUUGUGGCUGACCCCUAUGUUGUGCAACAUGGCGAAAGCCUACAGGAUGUGACCCACACAUGCAUUUGCCUAAAACUUUGACAGUCAAUCAACAGGGGGACAUGGAAAGAGGGGAUUGGAAGUGAAAUAGAGGGUUUUCCGGGACAGCCAUAGGGGGAGGACUGUGGCAUCUUCAUAUUGAUGGUAGGUGAGUUUAACUGUCUAAAUUUUUCCUCUGUGAUAUUUGUAUUCAUUUAUCCAUUUGUAGUAUGCUCUUUACUCUGUUCUGGAUGAGUUUAAACAUUGUAAGGUAAAGUUCACCGAAUCAUUCAAAUUGGGCUACAAAAUAUCCUUGUCGUUAUUCUUUAUUUACACUUGUUUUUAAUUUUUUUUAGACUGAUAUGCCAACUCUGAGGAAGUGGUAGUGUAUAUUGCUAGCAGACAAUUUUAAACUUGGGUGCACGGUAAGUCUUUGAAACUGUUGAUAUGACGUUCACAGGAAAGUAGGUGCACAGCACCUUAAUUCUUUGUUGGAAAUUGUGGAGUACUUAUUUUUGUGUUUUUUCAACUUAUGUGAGCCACAGGAAAAAGUUUGCCCAUUGGACAGAUAAAGCAAAAGCAUCACUCCAGAGUGAAGUGCCACCAGUCUAUCAGUUAAAGAAGUGAAAUUUGGAUGUAAUUGCAGAGGAAGCGGUGCAACCACAGCUCCUUCAAGUUAGUGGUGGCCCACUGCAAGAAGAUAUGGCAGGAAAAAGUACAUUUCCUACAUUUUUGGAAGGAAGUAGCAAGAAUUUUUUGUUCUUAAUUAGAUAAGAAUAGGGGUGGGAUUGAAUAAGUUUUCUUCUUCCCACU
Molecule: long non-coding RNA, 944 nt
Organism: Corythoichthys intestinalis (scribbled pipefish)
Lineage: Eukaryota; Metazoa; Chordata; Actinopteri; Syngnathiformes; Syngnathidae
Exons: 5
Source: RefSeq, a predicted model, not a curated record